CCUACGGGAGGCAGCAGCUAAGAAUAUUCCGCAAUGGACGAAAGUCUGACGGAGCGACGCCGCGUGGAUGAAGAAGGCCGAAAGGUUGUAAAAUCCUUUUGAAUUGGACGAAUAAGCUAUGUAGGGAAUGAUAUAGUGGUGACGGUACAAUUUGAAUAAGCAACAGCUAAUUACGUGCCAGCAGCCGCGGUAAUA
Molecule: ribosomal RNA, 195 nt
Filed under: uncultured bacterium
Lineage: Bacteria
Description: partial 16S ribosomal RNA
Rfam family: Bacterial small subunit ribosomal RNA
Source: RNAcentral